CACACUGGACCUUGGGCUACAAGUGGAAAAGGGAAAAGCUAGCCUGGAGAUCUGAGAGACUGCAGCAAUCACAGGAAGAAAAAUGAGAGAUUGGAAAAGAGAGGAAAAUUCUAAUGUACCCUUUCUGAGAUGGUGGUGACCAGAAUGGCACACAGUAUUCAAGGUUGACAUCUUGGCCACACAUGGAUUCCAUAGCCACAGAUGAGGCUCUACAAAUGCUGGGGAAAUGGUGUCUGAUUCUUCCUCACCCUUGUGGCAAUAAUGGCUGGGCCAGCUAUGAGUGUGGCAAGUCCACCACCAUCUUCCUGAUGCUGUGAGAUCCACCAGAGGAACAGUUCCUCAUCCAGGGUUUCGAUAUGGAGUACUGAGAGCGGGCUGCUGACCACAAGGAGCACCAGGCUGACCAGGAGAAGAGGAAGGACAUGUGGGAGCAGCUGUCAUGCCAGCAUGAUGCUAUGUACUCCUUAGUAACAUCAGUCAUGACCUCUUUUAUGGAGUGGGCCACCAGACACCUUCCUGUCCCUUCCCCACCAACUCUCUGCCCAACUACCUGCCCCCAACUACUUGCCCAACUCCCCUGCACCCACGCCCGCUCCCUGGUUUCUCCUCCUAGCCCCUCACAGGUAGCCGAAAUCUCCCAAGAUACCUGAGGCAGGUGCCAGUCCCAGCUCUGUCCCUGAGGCCCCCUUCCCAUUCCUCUCCCCUGCUCCCCCAUUCUGGGUUCUUUCCCCAGUC
Molecule: long non-coding RNA, 735 nt
Organism: Pelodiscus sinensis (Chinese soft-shelled turtle)
Lineage: Eukaryota; Metazoa; Chordata; Testudines; Trionychidae
Source: RefSeq, a predicted model, not a curated record